CGCCCCUAUAGUUUUGAAUCCUGGCUCAGGAUGAACGCUGGCGGCGUGCCUAAUACAUGCAAGUCGAACGCUUUGUGGUUCAACUGAUUUGAAGAGCUUGCUCAGAUAUGACGAUGGACAUUGCAAAGAGUGGCGAACGGGUGAGUAACACGUGGGAAACCUACCUCUUAGCAGGGGGAUAACAUUUGGAAACAGAUGCUAAUACCGUAUAACAAUAGCAACCCGCAUGGUUGCUACUUAAAAAGAUGGUUCUGCUAUCACUAAGAGAUGGUCCCGCGGUGCAUUAGUUAGUUGGUGAGGUAAUGGCUCACCAAGACGAUGAUGCAUAGCCGAGUUGAGAGACUGAUCGGCCACAAUGGGACUGAGACACGGCCCAUACUCCUACGGGAGGCAGCAGUAGGGAAUCUUCCACAAUGGGCGAAAGCCUGAUGGAGCAACGCCGCGUGUGUGAUGAAGGGUUUCGGCUCGUAAAACACUGUUGUAAGAGAAGAAUGACAUUGAGAGUAACUGUUCAAUGUGUGAACGGUAUCUUACCAGAAAGGAACGGCUAAAUACGUGCCAGCAGCCGCGGUAAUACGUAUGUUCCAAGCGUUAUCCGGAUUUAUUGGGCGUAAAGCGAGCGCAGACGGUUAUUUAAGUCUGAAGUGAAAGCCCUCAGCUCAACUGAGGAAUUGCUUUGGAAACUGGAUGACUUGAGUGCAGUAGAGGAAAGUGGAACUCCAUGUGUAGCGGUGAAAUGCGUAGAUAUAUGGAAGAACACCAGUGGCGAAGGCGGCUUUCUGGACUGUAACUGACGUUGAGGCUCGAAAGUGUGGGUAGCAAACAGGAUUAGAUACCCUGGUAGUCCACACCGUAAACGAUGAGUGCUAGGUGUUUGAGGGGUUUCCGCCCUUAAGUGCCGCAGCUAACGCAUUAAGCACUC
RNAcentral lists this ribosomal RNA (922 nucleotides) under Weissella cibaria. Its description in RNAcentral is "bacterial SSU rRNA". It matches the Rfam family "Bacterial small subunit ribosomal RNA", at positions 1 to 869 of the family's 1533-position model. The record is from RNAcentral. Lineage: Bacteria; Bacillati; Bacillota; Bacilli; Lactobacillales; Lactobacillaceae.